AAUCAUAUGAUGAAAUUAAACUGCAACAAUAUGACCGAGGCUCGGAAUCUCCAUGAUUCUUAAGUAUUUAAGUCUCUGAUGAUU
This is a small nucleolar RNA of Amaranthus tricolor (Joseph's coat), 84 nucleotides long. RefSeq annotates it as small nucleolar RNA Z199. The record is from RefSeq and is a predicted model, not a curated record. The transcript has a single exon. Lineage: Eukaryota; Viridiplantae; Streptophyta; Magnoliopsida; Caryophyllales; Amaranthaceae.